Mustela erminea (ermine) is the source of this 3748-nucleotide long non-coding RNA. RefSeq lists it as uncharacterized. The record is from RefSeq and is a predicted model, not a curated record. Lineage: Eukaryota; Metazoa; Chordata; Mammalia; Carnivora; Mustelidae. The transcript has 3 exons.
AUCUGAAGGACCCCGGCGGAGGUAGAGGUGUCUCCUCUUCCCCCAAACCCAUCCUCAGACUUGCUCCAGAAAGUUUGGAGGGUGGGUACACCCUGACUCAGGCAACCCGCUCCCCCAAACCCACGGCUGACUAAUAUGAUAUGACAAAAGCCGGUGAUGGAUUUGGUAUAUGUUAAUUCACAAUGCCCUUUCCUCCAGAAUUUAACUAUAAGUUAAUACACACCGGAAACCACGCGCAUACACGCUCGUUAAUGGGCUUAGGUAUUAGCGAGCCCUAACGAUGCAUACAAAUGUGUUCUGCGCUCUGUAGGCCCUUCAAGAUUUAUGGGCCUUGAGCUCUCUGAAGCUGUAAACAAGGAGAAAAAAAAGAGAAAGGAGAGAGAGACUGGGGGAAAGAGACAGAGGCCUGACUCACCCCUCCAGAUUGUGGGAGAGAAGGGAUCUUUGCAAGUGGGUUCCUAAGUCUUUUGCUUUCCUUACAAGCUCGGUGUGUGUGGUUUGGGGCAUUGGGCUGGGGCUGGGGUGGGGGUUGCGCCUGGACGCUGGUGUGCGUGGGCAGUGUGCCGUUUGCGAGCUGGGUAGGGCGAAAAGCUUCCUAUGAACUGCUGUGCGGGGGCCGCAUCUAGCAGGCACCCGUGGGCAAGUAUCUGCGGGUGUGCACACUGUGCUAGGUGUGCGUGUGUGUGUGCGUGUGUGCGCGCGCGCGCCUGUGUGCCUGUGUGACAAGCAGGCCUCCCUCUGGGCCCGGUGGCUGUCCCCUGAACCCUGCGAACAAAUCUCUAACAACAAUCAUAAUAACAAUAAAUAAUAAAUAACAAUAAAACGGUAGUUAACAGUCCCUCCCUAGCAGGAUAACAAUAAAAUGCAAGAGGAGAUAUUUUGAGGAGGGGCCGGGGAAGGAGUCGGAAUCACAGCAUCCGAGGGGAAGACAAGGGAGGAAGGAAGGAAGUUAGCUUCUUCCUAAGCCCUUGGAGGGCUGGAUUUAGGAACCCCCUCUCCAGACAAGGUCCUCCGGCCGAGGAGGAGAGGGAGAGCCCCCGGAGGCCGCUCUUUCCUGCUUCGUUUUCUCCGGCUUUUGCUUUGUGCGAUCGGGGGAGGGAUCCCACAUAUGGGGGUGAAUUGUGGCUUUGGGGAGCCUCUGGAGCCCUUGUUUUAAAGAGGAGGGCAAGCAAAGAGGGUCACGGUGAGGGGGAGAAUGGGGGGGGGCAGAUGAGGCGAUGGCCAGAGCCAGGGUCCUAAACACUCGGGCAACAGAAGUGCCCGGGGAGGACGUGCCGCCGGGUAUGGACGGAAGCAGAAAAACAUUUAUGGCCGCCCGAGAGAGGGGAGAGCAGGGCCGGGGUUUCCGGUAGGCCCAGGGAAAGUUCCCUUUCUAGGGGCUUUUCAAACCACACAAACAACAACAACAACAACAACAAAAAGAAAAGAAGAAGGAGGAGGAGGAGGAAGGAUUUGAGGCGCGCUGAAUUUUCCUUCGCGGGCUUGGAGCGAGCGGAUUGCCAUAAAGAAGCGAAGACCACGAUCCCGGAUUCUUCCACGUCCACCUCAUUUUCUCCAGCCGGUGACCCAUCUGGUCUGAAAGGGACGGAGACCUACACUUUCCACUGAGUCACUUCUUUAAGACCGGAGCACACACAAAGAUUCAAAAGGGAACCCGGGGCGGCCUUGCAUUUGAACACCACACGAGGAGGGGGAACACUGUGAUAACCAGUUGGACAAAAUACUAAUAAAAUAAAACACACCCGGGUCGGAGCACUGAGCGCAGGGCCUCUCCACUUGCCGGAUCUCUCAACCACCGGGAGACUGACACAAUGGGGGCUCCUGGACUGCCCCCCAGCCACUCCUGGAUGGUUUCCCAAAGCCUAGCUACCUCCAACCCUCCUUGUGUGUUGGGGUGGGGAAUAGCUGUACCCAGACACCUCUGAACCCUGUCAUAUGUAAAGCGUGCUCACUUGAAGAAUAUCUUGAAGAAGAAGGAGAAGAAGGAGGAGGAGAAGGCAGGCCGGCUUAGAGCUGUGUUUACUUCUAGUUCUACUGAUCCGUUCUCAUCUGGAGACUUUAUUUAUAACCCCCACUAUAACUCUCUCUGUUUGGAGGCACUGGUGGUUCUAUUGACAGACUGAUGUCUAGAAAAUAUUGCUCUAUCUCUAACCAUCCCUAAAUGUGCUGUGCUUGUAUUUACAGAUUUAUGCUGGAGGAAAAUAUAAUUAUUUCCAUUGUAUUUGUGCAUAUACAAUAGUUACAGAAGCAGAUUUAUAUAUGAGGAGAUAUACGACUCUCUUAUAGCCAUCCAGUUUUAUGGACAUUUGAUAUCCUGACAGAUUUAUAUCUCUGAGCAGCUAUAUAGAUAAAUGUAUAUGGUUGGAAUUAUGGAUCAGGAGAUAUAUACUUAUUGAUUGUGAUAUAGAGUAGUUAGAACAUUCACUCAGAGCCAUAUAUGGAUAUGGAGAUAGUUCUAUAUUAUUAUCACUAUAUAUAGGCAUAUCUAUUUAUAACUACAUAGUUAUAAAAAUAGACAUAAGUAAUUACAGUCCUAUAUGUACAUGCUGCUAUCUCUCUGUAGAGUUAUAGACACUUGGCGAAUAUAACUCCGAGGAGAUAUCUGUAUGUAUAUAAGGGUGUAAUUACCUCGUGAUGUGUGUGUAUUGAGGCUCAGACCAGUCUAUCUCUGUACAGACAUAUUUAUACGUAGGGGCUGAGAGAGACUUGUUCAUGGAAAUAUUGCCGGAGAAGCAAUGGAAAAGCAGGAUCUGGCCAUCUAGGAAAUCAGCUAGCAGAGUUCUUUACUUGCAGAGGGAUGGAGUUGACUGAAGGGUAAACAGAACAUAGGCAGCCUCAAGGAGAAGAGGUGCAGGGAAGGUGAUUGGGGCAUGGCUGGAACAGACAGGCAGGAAAGGGGUAGACACACACAGACAGGGCAGCCACCUGAAGAUGGGGGACUGGUUUUGUGAGGAGCAGGUGCAGAUGGUCACUGGGUCUUAUGGACGGGUAGGCAGUGAACAGUACUAUGACCUAGAGAUCCAUUCCAGCUCUCCGCUGAGGGAGCAGACCCUCAGGUGGGCUUUGGGGCACUAAAGGGCAGCUACCACCUAGCCCCUCCAGCAUUCUGGGCACAUUGCUCUUGAAUCCUAGUUUCGGGGUCUCAAAGAGUAGGUUUCAGAGGCGAGGAGGGGGGUGUACUUUCACUGCCGCUGCCUCUGGGAAUAGGGCCAGGAAAGCCAGGUAGUGUAGUAUGGCAAAAUAAAGCUCGUUUUCACCUGGGCCUCCUGUACUCCUGGGGGGGCCUGUGUGGGGCCUGUGUGGCAGGAGUCUGGUGGAUUGAGGGAUAAAUUUUCAAGGGUUGGGCUUCUUCUGAUGGGAGCUUCAGGAAGCCUUCCUCACCCCCCUUCUCUGAGGCCCAGGCCCCUGGAACCUAGUUCUGUUCCACUGGACAGCUCCUUCUCUGUUGCUCCCCAACUUGGGGCUCCCUCUGCUCUGGGUACAGAAGGCUAUACCCUCCAACUCUCUAACAGCACUGCCCUGGGCCUUUAUGGGAGAAUUUGACUUCAAUAAGUGGGGAACGUGGAUUGACACUUCUAGAGCUCAUUCCCCGUCCCCCCCAGCUCACAGCUACCCGGCUUUCUCACCAGCCUCCUUCCAGGCACCACAGGCUCCAGGCUCUGCAAUUCCUCCCUUGCCACCAGCCAUCCCAGGAGAAAAGACAUUUUUCUCCUGGUCCCAGUUCUUUUUUUUUUUUUUUUUUUUUUUU